CGUGCGCUCUUACCAUGCAGUCACGGGGGCCCGCAAGGGCAACCGGCGAACGGGUGCGUAACACGUGAGCAAUCUGCCGGUCUCUGGGGGAUAGCCGGCCCAACGGCCGGGUAAUACCGCAUACGCUCAUCGGGGGACAUCCCCUGGUGAGGAAACCUCCGGGGGAGAUCGAGGAGCUCGCGACCUAUCAGCUAGUUGGUGCGGUAACGGCGCACCAAGGCGACGACGGGUAGCUGGUCUGAGAGGAUGGCCAGCCACAUUGGGACUGCGACACGGCCCAGACUCCUACGGGAGGCAGCAGUGGGGAAUAUUGCGCAAUGGACGAAAGUCUGACGCAGCGACGCCGCGUGUGGGAUGAAGCUCUUCGGGGUGUAAACCACUGUUGCCCGGGAAGAACCUCCCCUUUCGAGGGGACUGACGGUACCGGGUGAGGAAGCACCGGCUAACUCUGUGCCAGCAGCCGCGGUAAUACAGAGGGUGCGAGCGUUGUCCGGAAUCACUGGGCGUAAAGGGCGCGUAGGUGGCGGGAUAAGUGUGUGGUGAAAGCUCGGGGCUCAACCCCGAGUCUGCCAUGCAGACUGUCUUGCUCGAGCAUAGUAGAGGCAGGUGGAAUUCCGGGUGUAGCGGUGGAAUGCGUAGAGAUCCGGAAGAACACCGGUGGCGAAGGCGGCCUGCUGGGCUAUUGCUGACACUGAGGCGCGACAGCGUGGGGAGCAAACAGGAUUAGAUACCCUGGUAGUCCACGCCGUAAACGAUGGGUACUAGGUGUCUGGGGGAGCGACCCCCUGGGUGCCGGCGCUAACGCAUGAAGUACCCCGCCUGGGGAGUACGGCCGCAAGGCUGAAACUCAAAGGAAUUGACGG
This 863-nucleotide ribosomal RNA is filed under the name uncultured Gemmatimonadota bacterium. RNAcentral describes it as "bacterial SSU rRNA". It matches the Rfam family "Bacterial small subunit ribosomal RNA", at positions 43 to 916 of the family's 1533-position model. The record is from RNAcentral. Lineage: Bacteria; Pseudomonadati; Gemmatimonadota.